Molecule: ribosomal RNA, 440 nt
Filed under: uncultured bacterium
Lineage: Bacteria
Description: partial 16S ribosomal RNA
Rfam family: Bacterial small subunit ribosomal RNA
Source: RNAcentral
CCUACGGGUGGCUGCAGUGGGGGAUAUUGCACAAUGGGGGGAACCCUGAUGCAGCGAAGCCGCGUGGGCGAUGGAGUGCUUCGGCAUGUAAAGCUCUAUCAGCAGGGAAGAAAAUGACGGUACCUGACUAAGAAGCCCCGGCUAAAUACGUGCCAGCAGCCGCGGUAAUACGGAGGGGGCAAGCGUUAUCCGGAUUUACUGGGUGUAAAGGGGCCGUAGGCGGCCUGGCAAGCCUGAUGUGAAACGCCGGGGCCAAACCCCGGGGCUGCAUUGGAAACUGCCAGGCUGGAGUGCCGGAGAGGCAGGCGGAAUGCCUAGUGUAGCGGUGAAAUGCGUAGAUAUUAGGAGGAACACCAGUGGCGAAGGCGGCCUGCUGGACGGGGACUGACGCUGAGGCUCGAAAGCGUGGGGAGCAAACAGGAUUAGAUACCCGGGUAGUC